UCCCAUGAAAGAGACUGUCAUAAAGGCAUCGAGACACCUACAAUAUAAACAAAGUAGGUAGUCAGGUAGUUGGUCACAUCAUACGAAAAUGACAAAUGUAAUGUCAUGUCAUGUUUGAUGUUAUUAAAGAAACAAAUCUCAUGGUUACAUCUCACUCAGACUGGGAAAACAUGUAUGUUUCAGUAACAUGGUUCUUAAACAAUUCAAAAAUAAACAAAUAAAGUGAAAAGGCUGUCAUGUGAAUGGUGAUUUUAUUGUCAUUUCUGUUUUAUAAUUUUCAUUUUCCUUAGUAUUGACAGUAGAGAGCAUAAAAUGCCACUACGGCUAUCUAACUCACUUUAAAACUUUAAAACAAAGUUCUUUCAGCAUGUACAAAAGGAUCAUCUCAGUUAACGGGGUUAGAAAUGACAGUUCAGUUCAUAGUAACAACUAGCAAAAGCAGCAUGGAAAAACAGUAGCUUGCACAACCUUUUGAAUAGUAAAACAAGACCUUCAUAGAGAACCAGUCAUUAAUUUAUGGCUAGCAACUGUUCCUUUCACAGUUCUCUUUGAGAAAACAUGACAUCAAUCCACUGAAUCAACCAAUCAAACUGCAGCCAAAAUCUGAAAGUUCUUACAUCAAUCAGCAUUACCUAAUAACUGGGAUCAAUAAAAAUCAUUCCAGCAUAUGAAAGCAUUUAGAAUCAUAUAAGUCUCUCCUUUCCACUCUCUUCUUCAGACCAUUACCUAUACACACUUCUUCUUUCCUUAUCAAGCUCGGUCAAAACCAUAUAACAUUCUUGCCACCAUAGCACCACGCUAUUUUGAUGCAGAAACCACUUUCAGAUUUGAAAGCAUUUAGAAUCAUAUGAGUCUCUCCUUUCCUCUCUCUUCUUCAGACCAUUACCUAUACACAUUUCUUCUUUCUUUAUCAAGCUCGGUCAAAACCAUAUAACAUUCUUGCAACCAUAGCACCACACUCUUUUGAUGCAGAAACCACUUUCAGAUUUGAAAGCAUUUAGAAUCAUAUGAGUCUCUCCUUUCCUAUCUCUUCUUCAGACCAUUACCUAUACACAUCUCUUCUUUCCUUAUCAGGCUCGGUCAAAAUCAUAUAACAUUCUUGCCACCAUAGCACCACACUCUUUUGAUGCAGAAACCAAUUUCAGAUUUGAAAUUUUCAACCUAUCACCAGAGACACUGUUGAAGUUGAACAUCGAACACCUAUGGAUGUUUCUACUUUCAUAAUCAAGCUUCAUCACAACAAUGUGUUGUUCUUCCCACCAUACCACCACCUCACAUUUUAUUUCGUUAAUUGAACACCAUUGAUGAUCUUCUGCAGAGUCCAGAUGAGUUAUAUAACCCCCCCCCCCUUCUUUUUGGAACAAUGAGCACGAACGU
This is a long non-coding RNA of Populus euphratica (Euphrates poplar), 1377 nucleotides long. RefSeq lists it as uncharacterized. NCBI's taxonomy places the organism in Eukaryota, Viridiplantae, Streptophyta, Magnoliopsida, Malpighiales, Salicaceae. The record is from RefSeq and is a predicted model, not a curated record. The transcript is spliced from 2 exons.